UAGGGAAUCUUCCGCAAUGGGCGAAAGCCUGACGGAGCAACGCCGCGUGAGUGAUGAAGGUCUUCGGAUCGUAAAACUCUGUUAUUAGGGAAGAACAAAUGUGUAAGUAACUAUGCACGUCUUGACGGUACCUAAUCAGAAAGCCACGGCUAACUACGUGCCAGCAGCCGCGGUAAUACGUAGGUGGCAAGCGUUAUCCGGAAUUAUUGGGCGUAAAGCGCGCGUAGGCGGUUUUUUAAGUCUGAUGUGAAAGCCCACGGCCCAACCGUGGAGGGUCAUUGGAAACUGGAAAAAUUGAGUGCAGAAGAGGAAAGAGGAAUUCCACGUGUAGCGGUGAAAUACGCGGAGAUAUGGAGGAACACCAGUGGCGAAGGCGACUUUCUGGUCUGUAACUGACGCUGAUGUGCGAAAGCGUGGGGAUCAAACAGG
Molecule: ribosomal RNA, 429 nt
Filed under: Actinomycetes bacterium
Lineage: Bacteria; Bacillati; Actinomycetota; Actinomycetes
Description: Actinobacteria bacterium partial 16S ribosomal RNA
Rfam family: Bacterial small subunit ribosomal RNA
Source: RNAcentral